UUGUAUGUGGGCAUUUCUGAACUAAUUUCUUAAAACGCUCCCAUGCUUCGUGAAAACUUUCUCCCUCUCUCUUUUUGAACAUAGAAAUUUCCCUUCUUAGCUG
Gossypium raimondii (Peruvian cotton) is the source of this 103-nucleotide non-coding RNA. NCBI's taxonomy places the organism in Eukaryota, Viridiplantae, Streptophyta, Magnoliopsida, Malvales, Malvaceae. The record is from Rfam.